RNAcentral lists this ribosomal RNA (393 nucleotides) under uncultured bacterium. RNAcentral's name for it is "bacterial SSU rRNA". It matches the Rfam family "Bacterial small subunit ribosomal RNA", at positions 32 to 414 of the family's 1533-position model. The record is from RNAcentral.
AAUCAACGCUGGCGGCGUGCCUCAGACAUGCAAGUCGAACGAUUAAAAGCUCUCUUCGGAGAGUGCAUAGAGUGGCGCACGGGUGAGUAACACGUAAGUAAUCUACCCUCGAGUGGGGAAUAACGUCCGGAAACGGACGCUAAUACCGCAUAAUGCAGCGGCACCGCAAGGUGACAGUUGUUAAAGGAGAAAUUCGCUUGAGGAGGAGCUUGCGGCAGAUUAGCUUGUUGGUAAGGUAACGGCUUACCAAGGCUACGAUCUGUAACCGGUCUAAGAGGACGGUCGGUCACACUGGCACUGAAUAACGGGUCAGACUCCUACGGGAGGCAGCAGUCGGGAAUUUUGGGCAAUGGGCGAAAGCCUGACCCAGCAACGCCGCGUGAAGGAUGAAGU